UUGGGAAUUUUGCGCAAUGGACGAAAGUCUGACGCAGCGACACCGCGUGAAGGAAGAAGCUUUUCGGAGUGUAAACUUCUUUUGUUUGGGAGAACUAUGAUAGUACCAGACGAAUAAGUACCGGCAAACUACGUGCCAGAAGCCUCGGUGAAACGUAGGGUACAAGCGUUAUCCGGAAUUAUUGGGCGUAAAGCGUGUCCAGGUGGUUUUUUAAGUUUCCUGUUAAAUUCUGAGGCUCAACUUCAGACCUGCAGGGAAUACUGGGAAACUAGAGGUCAGUAGAGGUGCAUGGAACUCUCGGUGUAGGGGUGAAAUCCGUUGAUAUCGAGAGGAACACCAAUGGCGAAGGCAGUGCACUAGACUGAUUCUGACACUCACACACGAAAGCGUGGGUAGCGAAAAGG
RNAcentral lists this ribosomal RNA (404 nucleotides) under uncultured bacterium. RNAcentral's name for it is "bacterial SSU rRNA". It matches the Rfam family "Bacterial small subunit ribosomal RNA", at positions 355 to 776 of the family's 1533-position model. The record is from RNAcentral.